This is a long non-coding RNA of Triplophysa rosa, 4946 nucleotides long. RefSeq lists it as uncharacterized. The record is from RefSeq and is a predicted model, not a curated record. The transcript is spliced from 4 exons. Lineage: Eukaryota; Metazoa; Chordata; Actinopteri; Cypriniformes; Nemacheilidae.
AUCCAUGGCUAGCCGAGCAUUAAAGGGUUUUAAUGCUUUAUUAAAAAGCAAUACUAAAUAUACAAGAGAAAAUAAGACAGGUCUCUUAAAAUGAGUAAAAUAACUAAUUUGUUUCCUUUUUAGAACAAUUAAAGUUUUUAUUGCUGAAAUCGCACACAUUAAUAUCUGUGAAAACUAAACCCAUUUAGUACAUUCCAUUGCCAUAUUAAAUUCAAAAUGCAAUAUAAUACAAACAUAUAAAUAAGAAACAUGAAUAAAAAUAGAAAGAAUAAUCUCAAAGGUAAACAACUAACUUCAGCUUUUCAUGAUGCAUUUAGUUUAUAUAAAUUAGUUUUAGUUUCUUUUUUUACUAUUAAAUAGUAAUAUAUAGCAUAUGACUUUUAAUUUGGCAGGUUGUCAGAAGACGCUUAUUUUUUAGUAUGUCUGUUUCUUCACUCAAACAAUAACAUGUUCGUGAAAUAAACUCUCAGAGCAACUCAGGAGGUGAAGUUCAUGUCCUCAUUCAGCGCAGACGCAGACAAAUUCAUGAGCAUCACACGUGUAGCACGUUAAACUGUGCAGUUCAUUCACUCGGACACGCAGAACAGACAGAUGGCAUGUGUAAAUAACAGGAUUUGGCAUCCACUAGUCCACAUCUAGUUUUAUGGACUCAAUGCAGCCGGAAAACAAGUUUCACUCGCAAAAUAGACUAAAACUAAGUAAAAUAGCAGUUCACCAUUUCAAUAAGCUAUCACUUAUUUAUCAGCAUGAGAAAUACGUGUGAGCGUGUGAACAGACUAAAAUGCGUGUGUCUCACGGUGAAUGCGUGAGACUUGAGAGCCCUGCAACAUGAAUAGAGUUUAGCGGGCUGUGCGUUAGUAAUAACGGUCCGUGGGGAAACGCAGUGCUCCGUGUGUAUUGUAGUUAAAUGGAUUAAACAAAGAUGAUUUUUUGUAUUCGAAUUACUCGAGUUACUCGAGGAAUCAUUUCAGCCCUAGUCGAUACUCGGUAAUACACUGUAAACCCUAAUGUUGUAUGUACUUAAACAAUCAAGUGAUGUUGACUAAACAUUAAUUACAAUUUUCCAUUUUGGUCCUGACAUUUAAAAAUAUGAGUUGAUUUAACUUUAUGUACCUUCAAAAUGCUUAAACUUACAAUUUCAAGUCUUGUGAGCUCAAAAUCAUGAUUAAUCCUUUAAAAAUCCUUUUGGUUAUUUUUACUUAAAUGGUUCACUCCAUGCAAGCAGUUCUGUUCUGCCUAGCAACAAGAAAACUAAUGCACCGAUUGGUGGAUUACAAAGUUGGUCCUUUCGGCCUUGUCUGUUCUGUUGCUGAGCUGACACUCACAGUUCAAGACGGAAUAUGUGCUAUGUUCGGUAACAUGAGACAACGACAUGUGGAAAUUCAGCCCAACCAACCGAUGUCCGAACCCUUGUUCUUUGAGGACCGCCUAUCAUGCUCGGAGAUGAUGACUCUUCUUUCUUCAAGUCAUGUUAAGUGUCUGAUCAUCGCAACACUAUCCUUGAUGUACCAGAGCUGAUCUUAUUCGAGGACACUGAUCUUCAGUCCCCCAACUCCUUGCAUUUGACGACUUCUAUUCUUUGAAGACAAUGUUCAGUGACAAUGUGCCGUGUUUGCAUAAAGCUUAAAUGGUGAAAUGUAGUUUUUAUUAUGUGUAUUAUAAUAAUAUUUUCAUUUUACAUUAACAUAAUUGUGAGUGAAGUUACUUGAGUGAAGUAUACUGUAAAUGUGCAUAGAGUUGUACAAUUGAUGUACUGCAGUUAAUUUGGUUGUUACCACCUUUACAGUGUGGCGGUGACCCAUUCCCAUUAAAGUAUAGUGUUUUACUGUAUUUUAAUUAAUAUUGUGACAUUUUGUCAAUAAAAAUUCAAAGAUUAAAUAUGCUGUUCAUUGUUUUAUUUCAGUUCUAUGUGCACAAAGCUUCAAAAAUAAUAACAUCAUUAUGUUAACAAAUAAAUAAGUGAACAAAUAUUUAAGUACACUUGAAAUUAAUACCAAGUUAAGUGAACAAAAUAAUUUAAGUACAUUAAAUAAGCGCCAAGUUUGGUGAACUGAAAGAUUAAAGUAUAGUCUACAACACCGGCACGUUAAAUAAACUUAAAUAUGCAAGUUUCGGGAGACUCCAUUACUCAAUUAAAUUGAGGCAACGAGUUUACUCAAUCAAUUUAGUUCAGUCAACUUAUUAGGGUUUUCAGUGUACGACGUAAUUCAGUCGGUGCCCUUAAAAGUACAGAGUCCGGUACCCAACCCUACACCAGUUUCAGUUUUUUAUUGAUCGUUUCAUUUGUGCUUUGACUUCACACAACAUUACUUGAACUUUAACGCAGCGUUAAUAUAUUCAUUAAGAUAUACGCGAAAAUGCGCUUUCAUAUUGUACUCAUCGAGAUACUGGAGACAGAGAACUAUAUUUUACUCUAUGAUGUAGAGUACAUCAGCUUCAUUGUGUGUGGGACACAGAGCUCAGUUUUCCCUACAAUGUGGACAAACUCCAAAACGCUAAAUGUGGUUUAAUCCAUUAAGACCAAAUUCUGUAUACGCCUUAAUAAAGCGUAUUAUGUAAAGAAAUGUAGAAGAGCCUAGAACGUGAACAGAAAGCCCAUUUUUUUUUGAUCACAGGACAAAAGCUACAUUCAGACUGUCACUUCAAAUCCGAUUUUUGGGCAUAUAUUUAGGAAGAAGAGCACUGAUGGCGGAGAUGCGGAAAUCGAAGGAAAAAGUAGGCGAGUUAAUUAAUGGUCUAUAUUGUUUUGGUGUUUAGUUACUUCUUUAAAUUUUAUUUAUUAGUUUAAACAAUGUUUUUGAAUAUAUUUAUUUAUUGCUAUUUUUUGUGUUCUGACCUCGGAGUUUCGUUCGGUUUUAAAGCCGUCGGCUUGAUUAUUUCCACUGAUGUUUUCUUUCACUGAUGUGCUUCAAGUUUGCUGUAUUUUUAUUUAGUCGUUUAUUUACAAUUUAUUUUAUAUUCUACGUUUCAGAUAUUGCUACAGUUCAUUUCUGCAGUCUGGUCCAGAGAAAAAGGUUUCAUUAUUUGUCUGUAGGCAUGUCCGUAGGCACUUUUAAUUUUUUUGCACUAAAAUUUUGUUUGCCUAAAACUGAUGAAUUGAUUUAUUCCAUCUUUUUUCAAUUUCCACUAGUUUUAUUAUAUUGAGACAUAUAAUUAUAACUUGUGGCAGUGUCACAGCGGAUUGCAUUUUGCCUGCGCUUGAGCACUUCAUUUAUAUUUUAAAAGCUUAUUAUAAAGGUUUUGUAUAUCUCUGUAAUUUAGAACAAUGUCAGCAAUGUUACAUUAAACAUCUUUUUCAUACAUGAAGCUUAAACCAUCAUCUGAUGUCCCUAUUCCCCAUGUAUAUUGAAAUAUUUCAAUUAAUAUCAUAAAAAUGCAAAUAGUCGACUUAAUGAAAGAUUACUAAUCGACUAAACAAAAUCUCUAGUCAAGGGCAGCCCUGAUUUAAAGACCGUUUCCUUAAAGGGAUAGUUUACUCAAAAUAUAUUCAUUUCUGUUCAUUCAAAUAUAAUUUAUUCUAACAUCGUUUAUUUACCCUUAUGUUGUUGAAAACCUGUAUAUGACUCUUCUGUGAAACACAAAAGAAGAUAUUUUGAGAAAUGUUUCAAUGGUUUUGUGUCCAUACAAUGGAAGUCAGUGGGGUUCAGUGUUGUUUGGUUAACAUCGUUCUUUAAAAUUUCUUUUAAGUUCUGCACAAGUAAUACUCACAAAGGUUGACAUGAGAAUGAGUGAUUGAUUACAGGAUUUGAUGAGAAAAUCUUUCUCAUUCUCUAUUAAUAAUAUCAACAAUGAAUGUCCUGGUAACAUGUAAGAUGGAGCUAGUACAACAUAAAACUAUAGGAUGCAAAAUAUCCCCUGCUUAUUGUUAUCGGGAAAUCCCAGAAAAUAUCUAGAUAUAAUUUUUUUGCCAAUAUCGUACACCCCAUUCCAAACCAUAGAGCACGAUCCGUGAAUAAUGGUACUGUAUGACUUAGUUUGACAUCUUUUAGCACUGGGACCACGCCAUCUAUCAGUUUCAAACGAUCUCCAAAUCCAGCUUUAUAUACACCGUUUAUAUAACAUCCAUCACUGAAAUGCCGUGAACAAACACACACACCUAAACUUCACUAUCGAAAGAGUAACGAGCUGUAGCGCAGCCCAUCUUGACGCACCACAGAUAAUCUUGAUGGUAAGUGGGAUGGUAAGCCAAUAAAAGGAAUAGGAUCCCUUUUAUGACACAGGGAUCCACAAUUAUAAAAAAACUUUCCGAAACAAGUUGGAGAUCUGGGGGAUUGUAUAAAGUACAGAAAUACUAUCUCAUACGUCAAACUCGUUUUUUAACAAGUUGACCAUGUUAAGCAUGAGAAGCCAGCACGUUUAACAGUGUAAAUAAGUCAGAAUGCAUGACGUAGCAUGAUACCCGAUCUUUAAUAUGGCAGUCUUUUCCCGCGGUAUCAAAAAUCGUUAUUUUUAAGGUAUCGUAUUGAAGUUGGAAAUUCCAGUAUCGUGACAACACUAUUACAAAUGCUGCAAAAUCCUCCUCCAUGUUGGCUAUCAACAGGCUGCAAAACCCUGUCCUAAAUUCUUAUCCAGACACUUUUUAUGGAAUCAUUUCUUUUCAAAAUUGACUUUCCCGACUGUAACUUUUACAUCUCCAGAUCCAGGCCCCUUACCUUUCCAAACAGCUAGCGUUCUGACAUUUUUUCACCGGCCGGGGGAAAGCCAAAACGCUUCUGCGUGUUUAUCACAUCAUGAAUUGAGCUUAACACUAAAUAAACUAAAUUAAAUAUAAAUAAAAUUAAUUUGGAUAAAAUUGAAAACUGAAAUAAUUUUUUUUUGCCAAAACUAUAAAAAAUCUUAUGCCUGUAUAAAUAAAAUUGUAUGCUUUUUAAUAUGAUGGCGAAACAGUUUUUGCCAUUGCUUCUCUAUAAAGUGGAACUGGCAAGGAGAUUAGAAUCUAAUAAACU